RNAcentral lists this ribosomal RNA (253 nucleotides) under uncultured bacterium. RNAcentral's name for it is "partial 16S ribosomal RNA". It matches the Rfam family "Bacterial small subunit ribosomal RNA", at positions 524 to 776 of the family's 1533-position model. The record is from RNAcentral.
UACGGAGGGUGCAAACGUUGCUCGGAAUCAUUGGGCGUAAAGCGCACGUAGGCGGCCCAGCAAGUCGGGUGUGAAAGCCCUCGGCUUAACCGAGGAAGUGCAUUCGAAACUACUGAGCUUGAAUACUGGAGAGGAUCGCGGAAUUCCCGGUGUAGAGGUGAAAUUCGUAGAUAUCGGGAGGAACACCAGUGGCGAAGGCGGCGAUCUGGACAGAUAUUGACGCUGAGGUGCGAAAGCGUGGGGAGCGAACAGG